GGCUUAACACAUGCAAGUCGAGGGGCAGCAUCAUCAAAGCUUGCUUUGAUGGAUGGCGACCGGCGCACGGGUGAGUAACACGUAUCCAACCUGCCGACAACACUGGGAUAGCCUUUCGAAAGAAAGAUUAAUACCGGAUGGCAUAAUUUUCCCGCAUGGGAUAAUUAUUAAAGAAUUUCGGUUGUCGAUGGGGAUGCGUUCCAUUAGGCAGUUGGCGGGGUAACGGCCCACCAAACCAACGAUGGAUAGGGGUUCUGAGAGGAAGGUCCCCCACAUUGGAACUGAGACACGGUCCAAACUCCUACGGGAGGCAGCAGUGAGGAAUAUUGGUCAAUGGACGAGAGUCUGAACCAGCCAAGUAGCGUGAAGGAUGACUGCCCUAUGGGUUGUAAACUUCUUUUAUACGGGAAUAAAGUUAGCCACGUGUGGCUUUUUGUAUGUACCGUAUGAAUAAGGAUCGGCUAACUCCGUGCCAGCAGCCGCGGUAAUACGGAGGAUCCGAGCGUUAUCCGGAUUUAUUGGGUUUAAAGGGAGCGUAGGCGGGUUGUUAAGUCAGUUGUGAGAGUUUGCGGCUCAACCGUAAAAUUGCAGUUGAUACUGGCGACCUUGAGUGCAACAGAGGUAGGCGGAAUUCGUGGUGUAGCGGUGAAAUGCUUAGAUAUCACGAAGAACUCCGAUUGCGAAGGCAGCUUACUGGAUUGUAACUGACGCUGAUGCUCGAAAGUGUGGGUAUCAAACAGGAUUAGAUACCCUGGUAGUCCACACAGUAAACGAUGAAUACUCGCUGUUGGCGAUAUACGGUCAGCGGCCAAGCGAAAGCAUUAAGUAUUCCACCUGGGGAGUACGCCGGCAACGGUGAAACUCAAAGGAAUUGACGGGGGCCCGCACAAGCGGAGGAACAUGUGGUUUAAUUCGAUGAUACGCGAGGAACCUUACCCGGGCUUAAAUUGCAACUGACGGAACCGGAAACGGUUCUUUCUUCGGACAGUUGUGAAGGUGCUGCAUGGUUGUCGUCAGCUCGUGCCGUGAGGUGUCGGCUUAAGUGCCAUAACGAGCGCAACCCUUACGGGUAGUUACCAUCAGGUUAUGCUGGGGACUCUACCCGGACUGCCGUUGUAAGAUGUGAGGAAGGUGGGGAUGACGUCAAAUCAGCACGGCCCUUACGUCCGGGGCUACACACGUGUUACAAUGGGGGGUACAGAAGGUAGCUACACGGCGACGUGGUGCUAAUCCCAAAAGCCUCUCUCAGUUCGGAUUGGAGUCUGCAACCCGACUCCAUGAAGCUGGAUUCGCUAGUAAUCGCGCAUCAGCCACGGCGCGGUGAAUACGUUCCCGGGCCUUGUACACACCGCCCGUCAAGCCAUGAAAGCCGGGGGUACCUGAAGUACGUAACCGCGAGGAGCGUCCUAGGGUAAAACUGGUGAUUGGGGCUAAG
This 1435-nucleotide ribosomal RNA is filed under the name uncultured organism. RNAcentral's name for it is "SSU rRNA". It matches the Rfam family "Bacterial small subunit ribosomal RNA". The record is from RNAcentral.